GCGGCGUGGGCCGCUGCCUUGGAAACGCGAAGAGCAUUCUCUCCCCAACCCGGCUACGGUGUGCGGGCGAGGGUCUCGUGGUGGGAGAAGGUGCUGCUCACGGGACGCGAUGCUGUGUUCCCGAAGGCUGGGCGGCCUUGGAGCCGGAGUAGCGGCUCUGCGGCCGGGGCGAGCGGACCAGACUGGCCUCCGAGCCGGGAUUCAGGCCCGAAGGGUCAGCACCAGCUGGUCCCCAGUAGGCGCUGCCUUCAACGUCAAGCCUCAGGGCCGCCGCUUGGACCUUUUCAGCGAGCGCCGGGGUCUUUUUGGAGUUCCUGAGCUCAGUGCCCCAGAAGGAUUUCAGGUUGCACAAGAAAAAGCCUUGAGAAAGACAGAAUUGCUUGUGGAACGUGCGUGUUCUACCCCUCCUGGGCCCCAGACUGUACUCAUUUUUGAUGAACUCUCAGAUUCCUUGUGCAAAGUGGCCGACUUGGCUGAUUUUGUGAAAAUUGCUCACCCUGAGCCAGCAUUCAGAGACGCAGCAGAAGAAGCCUGUAGAAGUAUUGGCACCGUCGUAGAGAAGUUGAACACAAAUGUGGAAUUAUAUCAAAGUUUGCAAAAAUUACUAGCUGAUAAAAAACUCAUGGAUUCUCUUGAUCCAGAAACCAGGAGAGUGGCUGAACUAUUUAUGUUUGAUUUUGAAAUCAGUGGAAUCCAUCUAGACAAAGAAAAGCGUAAAAGAGCAGUGGACCUUAAUGUUAAAAUUUUGGAUUUGAGUAGUGCAUUUCUUAUGGGAACCAACUUUCCCAACAAGAUUGAGAAGCAUCUCUUACCAGAACACGUUCGCCAUAACUUUAUAUCUGAUGGGAAUCAUGUAAUAAUUGAUGGUCUCCAUGCAGAAGCAUCAGAUGACUUGGUACGAGAAGCUGCUUAUAAAAUUUUUCUUUAUCCCAACACUGGUCAACUGAAAUGUUUAGAAGAAUUGCUGAGCAAUAGAGAUCUUCUGGCAAAGUUAGUAGGGUAUUCUACAUUUUCCCACAGAGCUCUCCAGGGAACAAUAGCUAAAAAUCCAGAGACUGUCAUGCAGUUCCUUGAGAAACUAUCAGACAGACUUUCUGAAAGAACUGUAAAAGAUUUUGAGAUGAUACGAGGGAUGAAAAUGAAACUAAAUCCUCAAAAAUCUGAAGUAAUGCCAUGGGAUCCCCCCUACUACAGUGGUGUGAUUCGUGCAGAGAGGUAUAAUAUUGAGCCCAGUUUAUAUUGCCCGUUCUUCUCCCUUGGAGCAUGCAUGGAAGGCUUGAAUAUUUUGUUUAACAAACUGUUGGGGAUUUCAUUAUAUGCAGAACAGCCUGCAAAAGGAGAGGUGUGGUGUGAAGAUGUCCGAAAACUGGCUGUCGUUCAUGAAUCUGAAGGAUUGUUGGGAUACAUUUACUGUGAUUUUUUUCAACGAGCAGACAAACCCCAUCAGGAUUGCCAUUUUACAAUCCGAGGAGGCAGAUUAAAGGAAGACGGAGACUACCAACUCCCAGUUGUAGUUCUUAUGUUGAAUCUCCCCCACUCCUCCAGGGGUUCACCAACUUUGUUAACUCCUGGAAUGAUGGAGAAUCUUUUCCAUGAAAUGGGACACGCUAUGCAUUCUAUGCUGGGACGCACUCGUUACCAACACAUCACUGGGACCAGGUGCCCCACUGAUUUUGCAGAGGUUCCUUCUAUUCUUAUGGAGUACUUUGCAAAUGAUUAUCGCGUGGUUAACCAGUUUGCCAGACAUUAUCAGACCGGGCAGCCACUGCCAAAAAACAUGGUGUCUCGUCUUUGUGAAUCUAAAAAGGUCUGUGCUGCAGCUGAUAUGCAACUUCAGGUCUUUUAUGCCACUCUGGAUCAAAUCUACCAUGGUAAGCAUCCCCUGAGGACGUCAACCACAAACAUUCUCAAGGAAACACAAGAGAAAUUCUACGGCUUACCUUAUGUUCCAAAUACUGCCUGGCAGCUGCGAUUCAGCCAUCUUGUGGGCUAUGGUGCCAAAUAUUACUCUUACCUGAUGUCCAGGGCAGUGGCUUCCAUGGUUUGGAAGGAAUGCUUUCUACAGGACCCGUUUAACAGGGCCGCCGGGGAGCGCUACCGCAGGGAGAUGCUGGCCCAUGGUGGGGGCAAGGAGCCCAUGCUCAUGGUGGAAGGAAUGCUUCAGAAGUGUCCUUCUGUUGAUGACUUUGUAAGUGCCCUUGUCUCUGACUUGGACCUGGACUUCGAAACUUUCUUCAUGGAUUCUGAAUAACGGAAACAUCCUCAAUUUUUGCAUCAUGGUCAUAGUGUUUAGGUACCGCACGGAUGGACUCAGAACAGAGAAGACGUGAACUCAUACUUUUCUGGCCUGAAGAAUCUAGAGGAACAGUCUGUGAGGUCAGAAACAUCAUCAGUGACCUGCCUGUGCUCGGUCCACUGGGAUGCAAGGGGAGCCAACCAUUCAUCCCUCCCACCUCCUGCUCACACUUAGAAAUCCAAAUCUAUGCCCUCAGAAAGCAGAGCAGCUGGCAUACCGCCCAGUUGGAGAUGAGUAAGUACAAAACAGAAAUCUGUAUGGAGCCUACCUGCAAACAUUCUUCAGAAGAAGGGGAAGGAGAUGUCACCUGGAAGAUGCUGUAGAAUCAUGACUGUGAAAGUCACUUUUAAAAGGAAU
Otolemur garnettii (small-eared galago) is the source of this 2653-nucleotide RNA transcript. It is a transcript of the gene named mitochondrial intermediate peptidase, with no coding region annotated. The transcript has 22 exons. The record is from RefSeq and is a predicted model, not a curated record. Lineage: Eukaryota; Metazoa; Chordata; Mammalia; Primates; Galagidae.